This 301-nucleotide ribosomal RNA is filed under the name uncultured bacterium. RNAcentral's name for it is "partial 16S ribosomal RNA". It matches the Rfam family "Bacterial small subunit ribosomal RNA", at positions 509 to 807 of the family's 1533-position model. The record is from RNAcentral.
CAGCCGCCGCGGGAAUACGGAGGGUGCAAGCGUUAAUCGGAAUUACUGGGCGUAAAGCGUGCGUAGGCGGUUCGUUAAGUCUGUUGUGAAAGCCCCGGGCUCAACCUGGGAAUGGCAAUGGAUACUGGCGAGCUAGAGUGUGUCAGAGGAUGGUGGAAUUCCCGGUGUAGCGGUGAAAUGCGUAGAGAUCGGGAGGAACAUCAGUGGCGAAGGCGGCCAUCUGGGACAACACUGACGCUGAGGCACGAAAGCGUGGGGAGCAAACAGGAUUAGAUACCCGUGUAGUCCCUGUCUCUUAUAC